This 31-nucleotide non-coding RNA is filed under the name Mus musculus (house mouse). Lineage: Eukaryota; Metazoa; Chordata; Mammalia; Rodentia; Muridae. The record is from RNAcentral.
GUCAUGCACGGUGCACAAAUGAGCAGUUUAA